UUUUAUUAAAGGGCCGCGGUAUAUUGACUGUGCAAAGGUUAAGCCAUAAUCCAUUUUGUCUCUUAAUUGGGAGGCUGGAAUGAAUGGUUGAAUGAAAUAUUAACUGUCUCAUUUUUAAAAUUAUAAAAAUUUAGCUUUUAAGUUAAAAGGCUUAAAUUUAUUUAGAGGACGAGAAGACCCUAUAGAUCUUUAUAAUUAAAUUAAAUUUAUAAAAUAGUAAAUUAAUUAAUAAAAUUAAUUUAAUUAUUUUAUUGGGGUGAUAGGAAAAUUUAAUAAACUUUUUUUAUUUAUGAACAUUGAUUUAUGAUUAUUUGAUCCAUUUUUAGUGAUUAAAAGAUUAAGUUACCUUAGGGAUAACAGCGUAAUUUUUUUAA
This 374-nucleotide ribosomal RNA is filed under the name Chrysoperla sp. Jazan4. Its description in RNAcentral is "partial 16S ribosomal RNA". The record is from RNAcentral. Lineage: Eukaryota; Metazoa; Arthropoda; Insecta; Neuroptera; Chrysopidae.